GAGGGUAUAGCUCAGUGAUAGAGAGCACGUCCUCAGCAUGCAUGAGGUCCUGGGUUCAAUCCCCAGGACCUCCA
This 74-nucleotide transfer RNA is filed under the name Camelus bactrianus (Bactrian camel). It matches the Rfam family "tRNA". From Rfam's summary of the family: Transfer RNA (tRNA) molecules are approximately 80 nucleotides in length. Their secondary structure includes four short double-helical elements and three loops (D, anti-codon, and T loops). Further hydrogen bonds mediate the characteristic L-shaped molecular structure. tRNAs have two regions of fundamental functional importance: the anti-codon, which is responsible for specific mRNA codon recognition, and the 3' end, to which the tRNAs corresponding amino acid is attached (by aminoacyl-tRNA synthetases). tRNAs cope with the degeneracy of the genetic code in two manners: having more than one tRNA (with a specific anti-codon) for a particular amino acid; and 'wobble' base-pairing, i.e. permitting non-standard base-pairing at the 3rd anti-codon position. Lineage: Eukaryota; Metazoa; Chordata; Mammalia; Artiodactyla; Camelidae. RNAcentral also lists the same sequence under 2 other names. The record is from Rfam by way of RNAcentral.